UGCUGUCCUUGGCCCCCUCAUGGCUUGACUCCUUUCCAGGAGUUGUGGAAGUUUCCCCAUGGUCUGCGAGCCCUCCUCCUUCCCUGCCAUGCUCUCAGCAGAUGGCCCGGCCCCCCGUGCUCAUGAGACCAGGAUCACCGUAGCAAGAUCAGCCCCCCCACCGCUGCUCCCCAAAAGUUUCGGGAUCUUCACUCCUUGAUCCUUUUCCUUUCAGGGCACAGAAGGUGGAGGCUUCCUUCCGCCUGCAGCUCCCCUCCCCAGCCUGAGCCCCUGGGGUGACAUAGUCCCAAUUCCCAGCUGGCACCCUCCAUCACUUGCUGUCUUUGGAACCUGUGAACUCUCUCCCCUCUGACUUCUCAGCUAUUCCCCCACACCGAAUGCAUCUGCCUUCCAUGCCCCACGCUCACGGCCUGGGCCACCCUGGUGGCCUCACAGCUGACCCGCUUAUUCUCGUCUUUCAGCCCUGUCCCCCCCAUGUCCACUGUAGUAAUUCCACAUCCCUUGCCAACGUUCCAGUGGGCAGAGCAAAUGCAGUGGAGCAUGUGAGCUCACAGAUUAGGCCUGAACUUCUCUUUAAAACACCACCUCCUUCCUCCUCUCCUCUCUGCUCCAGUUAGAUCUCUUCCUUAAACAUUUCCUGCCAUUCCUCUGUCUCCCCGUCAAAGCUUCAUCCAGCCUCGGAGCCCAGCUCCAUGCAGCAACCUGAGCUCCAUGACCAGUCUAGCAGGAGGGCCUCUUUCCUUUGCAUUUGUCCCGCAGCUCGGUGGUGUGUGCUGCUUUUCCAGCACUUUCCAUAGAUUGUCUUCCCUCCUUAAUGGGCUAUAAGCCCUUUGAGGGCAGGAUCUGGCCCUUCUCCCCUGCAAGCGCUUCAUGCUAGCUUUGCACAGAGAGAACGCUCCCUCUGCAUGGUGGUCACAGAAGGACACCAGCUCUCGCCAGCUCCUCUUGGCCCAGCACGGACUCACACCACCACCAGCCACCUGGAAGCUAGCUGUACAAAGCAGGAGUUUUGCCCCAUGUUUUCCCCAGUCCUGGGCAAGUAUGCUGGGGAAACCCUCCUGGCUGCAUGGUUCCUGGGAUAACAGCCUGGCCGCGAGAAACUGAGGCUACUGCUCUCGUCUCCAGGGCAAGGAACGGGCAGCCCCUCCUCCAGGCACCGCCACCCUGGGGCCCAGCAGGAUGACUCAGGGCAGGGACCAAAGCGCUGGCCAGGGUGGCCCCUUCCCAUGUGGGCGCUCCUGGUCCCCUCACUUUCUUCCAGAGAGAGCUCCCCGCACUCCUCUCCUUCUUCCCGAAGACGCUUGAAGAAGGAGUCACACAGGGGACGGACCCAGUUGUGGGAGGCUGGAGCGAAAAAGCCAAUAAAAGCGCCUUUAUUUGUAAUGUUCCCGUGCUUGAUAUCUUGUUAGGCCCUACUCCAUUUCCUCAGAGCAAUGAGACAAGGAAAAUAAUUAAAAAAAAAAAAAAGCCUUGCUCUAAGUAUGCACGAACUUUAUGGCCUCCCUCUGCUCCUCGUCCUCCUCCUUCCCCACCAGUGUUGCCUGUGAAUUCCUCUCCCAGACUUCGUGUUUUCCAUCCUAACGUUUAUGGCAUUUCCCUCGAUUAAUGGCUAACACAUUCAUUUUCUCCCCACCGCCCCCAUUAUCAAAGAGCGCUUGAAUAACGAUUAACUCUCCGGUUAACAGAAACAUGUUAAUCAUCUACAAGCCCUUGGGCAGGGAAAUAAUAUUCUUUGUAACCUUGUCCCAAUGGCGGGAGAGCCCCCGUCCCCUGGCAGCUGACCUUCAACCAAACCCGGGUCUAGAAGCUGGUGAAACCCAGACAGUGAGGGUGUUACGAGGGCUAUUAGUCAGCCAAGGUCAUAAAGCGCUGAGUGGGGGUGACGCUGGUGCUCUUUGGCCCAGGCCUGGAGGAUGCCUUUCAAUCCAGCCACCCUUGCUCCAGGACCCUAUAGAGAGACCAGGCUGCACCUCUUUUUUUUUUUUUCCCCAAAAUUGUUUUGCAAGCGAGGGCUCAUCUAUUGCACAUUCUUUGUUGCUGGGAGACUCAGAGUGGCUGUACAGGCUGUUCUUUCUUGGAGCCAUAGUUCAAAAGUGCUCCUGACCCAAACCCACACGUGUUGUAACCCUGCCCUCCCUUGUGUGGGGCUGGGACAGCCGCUAGGAAGCUUCUCCCCACUGCUGCUCCAAGUGCCAGGGAUCCACCCGCCAGAGCCAGUCGCUGGGAGGGUGACCUCCUUCUGAAGUUAGACACUCCUGGGAGCGUGAGAGGAGCUUGCUGCCUCUUGCCAGGCACUGAUGAUAGCGCCCAGCCAGUUUCACCGGCUCCUGGAAAAUGUUGGAUGACUUCACCUCCCUUUGUAUCCCUAGCCCCCUCUCUUGAAGCUGGUCUGACUUCCCUUUUGGACUCAAAAUUCUGAGCAGAAGCUAUUAUUACACACACACACACACACACACACACACGCAUCUCGAUUUGUGCAGCCAUAUAUGGUAACCACCAGCCGCCAGUGGCUAUGGGGCACUGGAAACCGGGCUAAUCCAGACUGGGGCUGUGCUGUCCGUGUAUGUAAUGCCAGAGAAUUCAAGGCUUACCUUAAAAAAGAAUGUAGAAUAUGACAUGUGUUGAAAUGAUGAUAAUUUGGAUAAAGUGGGUUAAAUAAAAUAUGUUAUGAAAA
Molecule: long non-coding RNA, 2674 nt
Organism: Ailuropoda melanoleuca (giant panda)
Lineage: Eukaryota; Metazoa; Chordata; Mammalia; Carnivora; Ursidae
Exons: 2
Source: RefSeq, a predicted model, not a curated record